This 374-nucleotide ribosomal RNA is filed under the name uncultured bacterium. Its description in RNAcentral is "bacterial SSU rRNA". It matches the Rfam family "Bacterial small subunit ribosomal RNA", at positions 523 to 898 of the family's 1533-position model. The record is from RNAcentral.
AUACGGAGGGUGCAAGCGUUAUCCGGAUUUAUUGGGUUUAAAGGGUCCGUAGGCGGAAUAGCAAGUCAGAGGUGAAAGCCCACAGCUUAACUGUGGAACUGCCUUUGAUACAGCCUUUCUUGAGUAUAGUUGAAGUGGGCGGAAUGUGCGGUGUAGCGGUGAAAUGCAUAGAUAUCGCACAGAACACCUAUCGCGAAGGCAGCUCACUAAACUAUUACUGACGCUCAGGGACGAAAGCGUGGGGAGCAAACAGGAUUAGAUACCCUGGUAGUCCACGCUGUAAACGAUGAUCACUCGGUGUUGGCGAUAUACUGUCCAGUGCCCAAGCAAAAGCGUUAAGUGAUCCACCUGGGGAGUACGCUCGCAAGGGUGAA